GAUGAAGAACGUAGCGAAAUGCGAUAAGUAAUGUGAAUUGCAGAAUUCAGUGAAUCAUCGAAUCUUUGAACGCACAUUGCGCCCUCUGGUAUUCCGGGGGGCAUGCCUGUUCGAGCGUCAUUACAACCCUCAAGCUUUGCUUGGUAUUGGACAUUGCCAGUUUCUGGCAGGUCUUAAAAUCAGUGGCGGUGCCAUUUGGCUUCAAGCGUAGUAAUUCUUCUCGCUUUGGAGAUCCAGGUGGUUACUUGCCAAUAACCCCCAAUUUUUUCAGGUUGACCUCGGAUCAGGUAGGGAUACCCGCUGAACUUAAGCAUAUCAAAAGCGGAGGA
RNAcentral lists this unclassified non-coding RNA (329 nucleotides) under soil metagenome. Its description in RNAcentral is "partial contains 5.8S ribosomal RNA, internal transcribed spacer 2, and large subunit ribosomal RNA". The stretch from base 1 to 120 matches the Rfam family "5.8S ribosomal RNA", at positions 35 to 154 of the family's 154-position model. The record is from RNAcentral.